UGGGUGUCCUUGGAUGUAAAAAGC
This 24-nucleotide microRNA is filed under the name Caenorhabditis briggsae. Its description in RNAcentral is "Cbr-Mir-238_5p* (star (passenger))". The record is from RNAcentral. Lineage: Eukaryota; Metazoa; Nematoda; Chromadorea; Rhabditida; Rhabditidae.